UACGAACCGUGCGAACGUUGUUCGGAAUCACUGGGCAUAAAGGGCGCGUAGGCGGCUUGUCAAGUCAGGGGUGAAAUCCGGCAGCUUAACUGUCGAAGUGCCUUUGAUACUGAUGAGCUCGAGGGAGGUAGGGGUAUGCGGAACUUCCGGUGGAGCGGUGAAAUGCGUUGAUAUCGGAAGGAACGCCGGUGGCGAAAGCGGCGUACUGGACCUCUUCUGACGCUGAGGCGCGAAAGCUAGGGGAGCAAACGGG
RNAcentral lists this ribosomal RNA (253 nucleotides) under uncultured bacterium. RNAcentral's name for it is "partial 16S ribosomal RNA". It matches the Rfam family "Bacterial small subunit ribosomal RNA", at positions 524 to 776 of the family's 1533-position model. The record is from RNAcentral.